UUGUGUGCAGGGUGAAUCGAAAGACCUCCCUCAUUUCCCAUGCCUUCCUGGCUUCAUCGUACGGUCAUGGUCCAUAAGCGGUAGUCAGGAUUCUUGGAUGCGGUAGAUGCAGUGGGCAUGGGGUCUUUAUCGACUCCUAUCUACCUUGUAUGAUGCUCCUUUAAAAUGAUGGUUGCACUCGCCUUGAUUCCAUAUGCACCUUCACAGGCAGGCCAGGCUCAUAUGACACCGGCGUCGAUGAGUAAUGCCACCUGGUUGAUCCUGCCAGUAGUCAUAUGCUUGUCUCAAAGAUUAAGCCAUGUAAGUAUGAACAUAUUCAGACUGUGAAACAACGAAUGGAUCAUAAAUUCAGUUAUAUUUUGUUUGAUGGUAUCUACUAUUCGGAUAACCGUAAUAAUUCUAGAGCUAAUACAUGAAAGAAACCCCCACUUCUGGAAGGGUUGCAUUUAUUAGAUAAAAGGUCGGUGUGGGCUCUGCCCGAAAGAUAGUGAACUAUGCCUGAGCGGGUCGAAGCCAGAGGAAACUCUGGUGGAGGCCCGCAACAAUACUGACAUGCAAAUCAUUUGACUGACUUUGGUGUAGGGCUUGUGGCUGCUUUGUCGAGCCCUGCCACGGAAUCAAGAGCUACAAAUAGGCCUUUUUUUGUAAGCAGAAGUGGCGAUGCGGGAUGAACCGAAAAUCGAGUUACGGUGUCAAACUGCGCACUAACCUAGAUCACACAAAGGGUGUUGGUCGAUUAAGAUAGCAGGACAGUGGUCAUAGAUGUCAAAAUCUGCUAAGGAGUGUGUAACAACUCACCUGCUGAAUAAAAUAGCCCUGAAAAUGGAUGGCGCUUAACAGCGCAACCUAAAGUCAGCCAUCGGGGAAAGUUCCAGGCCCCAAUAAGUAGGAGCGCGCGACGUUUGCUCCAAAACCUUGGGCGCGAGCCCGGGCAGAGCGGCCGUCGGUACAAAUAUUGGUGGUAGUAGCAAAUAUUCAAAUGAGAACUUUGAAGGCCGAAGAGGGGAAAGNGGAGUGUGUAACAACUCACCUGCUGAAUAAAAUAGCCCUGAAAAUGGAUGGCGCUUAACAGCGCAACCUAAAGUCAGCCAUCGGGGAAAGUUCCAGGCCCCAAUAAGUAGGAGCGCGCGACGUUUGCUGCAAAACCUUGGGCGCGAGCCCGGGCAGAGCGGCCGUCGGUACAAAUAUUGGUGGUAGUAGCAAAUAUUCAAAUGAGAACUUUGAAGGCCGAAAAGGGAAAAGCUUCUAUGUGAAUGGCACUUUUACAUGGGUUAGUCGAUCCUAAGGGUCGGGAGAACCCGGACAGAUAGCGUAUUUCGUGCGUACUCUGAAAGGGAAUAGGGUUAAAACUACUAGACCGGGAUGUGGCGAUCAACACUAACAUUAGGAAGUUCGGAGACGUCAGAUUAAAACUCCUGAACCAGGACAUGGCGGUCGACGACAACGUUAGGAAGUCUGGAGAUGUCGGUAGGAGCCUCUGGAAGAGUUAUCUUUUUUGUUUAACAGCCUGCCUACCCUGGAAUCGUCUCAGCCGAAGCUAGCGUUCAGCGGCUAGAAGAGCACCGCACGUCGCAUGGUGUCCGGUGCACUACUGGCGCCCCUUGAAAAUCCAGAGGAACGAAUACCGUCCACGCCUAGUCGUACUAACAACCACAUCAGGUCUCCAACGGGAACAACCUCUCGCCGAUGCAAUAAUAUAGGCAAGGGAAAUCGGCAAAAUGGAUCUGUAACUUCUAGAAAAAGGAUUGUCACUAAGGGCUGGGGACGGGGGUUACAGUUCCAAACCCAUCAGCUAUCGGUGGACUACUCGAGCUGCUAUAGCAGCGAGAGCGGGUCACCGUAUCUAGGUUGGGGGACGGACUGGGAACGGUUCUUUUGGGGGCCUUCGCCGCACGUCGAAGAGCCAACUCAGAACUGGUACGGGCAAGGGAAAUCCAACUAUUUAAUUAAAACAAAGCAUUGCGAUGGUCCCAACGGAUGUUCAUGCACUGUGAUUUCUUUCUAUUGCUCUGAAUGUCUAAGUGAAGAAAUUCAACCAAGCACAGGUAACAACGGGAGUAACUAUGACUUUCUUAAGGUAACAAAAUGCCUCGUCAUCUAAUAGUGACACGCAUAAAUGGAUUAACAAGAUUCCCACUAUCCUUGUCUACUAUCCAGCGAAACCACAACCAAGGGAAUGGGCUUCGCAGAAUCAACGGGGAAAGAAGACCCUCUUGAGCUUGAAUCUACUCCGACUUUGUGAAAUGACUUGAGAGGUGUAGUAUAAGUGGGAGGCAAAAGGAAAAGGUGAAAUACCACUACUUUAGAAGUUAUUUCACUUAUUCCAUGAUUCGGAAGUGGGGCUAUGUCCCUCUCUUUUGAUCCAAGGCUCGCUAUGCGAGCUGAUCUGGGCGGAAGAUAUUGUCAGGUGGGGUCGUUUGGCUGGGGCGGCAUAUCUGUUAAGAGAUAAUGCAGGUGUCCUAAGAUGAGCUGAACGAGAUCAGAAAUAUCAUGUAGAAUAGAAGGGUAAAAGAUUGUUUGAUUCUGAUUUCCAGUACGAAUAUGAACCAUGAAAGCGUGGCCUAAUGAUUCUUUAGACCUUCGAAAUUCGAAGCUAGGGGAGUCAGAAAAGUGUUACCACAGGGAUAACUAGCCUGUUCCACCCAAACAUUCAUAGCGACGUUGCAUUUUCAUUCUUCAAUGUCGGCUCUUCCUAUCAUUGUGAAGCAGAAUUAACCAAAUUUUGGACUGUUCACCCACCAAUAUGGAACUUGAGCUGGGUUUAGACCAUCGUGAGACAGGUUAGUUUUACCCUACUUAUGACAGUGUCACAGUAUUAAUUAAACCUAGUACGAGAGAAAACGUUUAUUCACACAAUUUUUCAUCGUAUUUGGUUGAAAAGACAGUGGCGCAAAGGUACCAUGUGCUGGAUUAUGACUGAACGCCUCUAAGUCAGAAUCUGGGAUAGAAGUGAUGCAUACGCCCACUGUCCACUUGA
This 2977-nucleotide ribosomal RNA is filed under the name Capsicum baccatum. Its description in RNAcentral is "eukaryotic LSU rRNA". The stretch from base 421 to 2977 matches the Rfam family "Eukaryotic large subunit ribosomal RNA". Lineage: Eukaryota; Viridiplantae; Streptophyta; Magnoliopsida; Solanales; Solanaceae. The record is from RNAcentral.